Molecule: ribosomal RNA, 301 nt
Filed under: uncultured bacterium
Lineage: Bacteria
Description: partial 16S ribosomal RNA
Rfam family: Bacterial small subunit ribosomal RNA
Source: RNAcentral
AGCAGCCGCGGGAAUACGUAGGGUGCGAGCGUUAAUCGGAAUUACUGGGCGUAAAGCGUGCGCAGGCGGUUGUGUAAGACAGGUGUGAGAUCCCCGGGCUUAACCUGGGAACUGCGCUUGUGACUGCACAGCUAGAGUAUGGCAGAGGGGGGUGGAAUUCCACGUGUAGCAGUGAAAUGCAUAGAGAUGUGGAGGAACACCGAUGGCGAAGGCAGCCCCCUGGGCCAAUACUGACGCUCAUGCACGAAAGCGUGGGGAGCAAACAGGAUUAGAUACCCCCGUAGUCCCUGUCUCUUAUACA